Molecule: ribosomal RNA, 1372 nt
Filed under: uncultured bacterium
Lineage: Bacteria
Description: bacterial SSU rRNA
Rfam family: Bacterial small subunit ribosomal RNA
Source: RNAcentral
GAUAAACGCUGGCGGCGUGCCUAAUACAUGCAAGUCGAGCGAACGGACGAGAAGCUUGCUUCUCUGAUGUUAGCGGCGGACGGGUGAGUAACACGUGGAUAACCUACCUAUAAGACUGGGAUAACUUCGGGAAACCGGAGCUAAUACCGGAUAAUAUUUUGAACCGCAUGGUUCAAAAGUGAAAGACGGUCUUGCUGUCACUUAUAGAUGGAUCCGCGCUGCAUUAGCUAGUUGGUAAGGUAACGGCUUACCAAGGCAACGAUGCAUAGCCGACCUGAGAGGGUGAUCGGCCACACUGGAACUGAGACACGGUCCAGACUCCUACGGGAGGCAGCAGUAGGGAAUCUUCCGCAAUGGGCGAAUGCCUGACGGAGCAACGCCGCGUGAGUGAUGAAGGUCUUCGGAUCGUAAAACUCUGUUAUUAGGGAAGAACAUAUGUGUAAGUAACUGUGCACAUCUUGACGGUACCUAAUCAGAAAGCCACGGCUAACUACGUGCCAGCAGCCGCGGUAAUACGUAGGUGGCAAGCGUUAUCCGGAAUUAUUGGGCGUAAAGCGCGCGUAGGCGGUUUUUUAAGUCUGAUGUGAAAGCCCACGGCUCAACCGUGGAGGGUCAUUGGAAACUGGAAAACUUGAGUGCAGAAGAGGAAAGUGGAAUUCCAUGUGUAGCGGUGAAAUGCGCAGAGAUAUGGAGGAACACCAGUGGCGAAGGCGACUUUCUGGUCUGUAACUGACGCUGAUGUGCGAAAGCGUGGGGAUCAAACAGGAUUGGAUACCCUGGUAGUCCACGCCGUAAACGAUGAGUGCUAAGUGUUAGGGGGUUUCCGCCCCUUAGUGCUGCAGCUAACGCAUUAAGCACUCCGCCUGGGGAGUACGACCGCAAGGUUGAAACUCAAAGGAAUUGACGGGGACCCGCACAAGCGGUGGAGCAUGUGGUUUAAUUCGAAGCAACGCGAAGAACCUUACCAAAUCUUGACAUCCUUUGACAACUCUAGAGAUAGAGCCUUCCCCUUCGGGGGACAAAGUGACAGGUGGUGCAUGGUUGUCGUCAGCUCGUGUCGUGAGAUGUUGGGUUAAGUCCCGCAACGAGCGCAACCCUUAAGCUUAGUUGCCAUCAUUAAGUUGGGCACUCUAAGUUGACUGCCGGUGACAAACCGGAGGAAGGUGGGGAUGGCGUCAAAUCAUCAUGCCCCUUAUGAUUUGGGCUACACACGUGCUACAAUGGACAAUACAAAGGGCAGCGAAACCGCGAGGUCAAGCAAAUCCCAUAAAGUUGUUCUCAGUUCGGAUUGUAGUCUGCAACUCGACUACAUGAAGCUGGAAUCGCUAGUAAUCGUAGAUCAGCAUGCUACGGUGAAUACGUUCCCGGGUCU